UACAGAGGUCUCAACCGUUGUUCGGAUUCAUUGGGCGUAAAGGGUGCGUAGGCGGUCUGGCAAGUCGGAUGUGAAAUCUCAGGGCUCAACCCUGAAACUGCAUUCGAUACUGCUAGGCUUGAGUACUGGAGGGGAGACUGGAAUUUACGGUGUAGCAGUGAAAUGCGUAGAGAUCAUGAGGAAGACCAGUGGCGAAGGCGGGUCUCUGGACAGUUCCUGACACUGAGACACGAAGGCCAGGGGAGCAAACGGG
RNAcentral lists this ribosomal RNA (253 nucleotides) under uncultured bacterium. RNAcentral's name for it is "partial 16S ribosomal RNA". It matches the Rfam family "Bacterial small subunit ribosomal RNA", at positions 524 to 776 of the family's 1533-position model. The record is from RNAcentral.